Molecule: ribosomal RNA, 338 nt
Filed under: uncultured Endozoicomonas sp.
Lineage: Bacteria; Pseudomonadati; Pseudomonadota; Gammaproteobacteria; Oceanospirillales; Endozoicomonadaceae
Description: bacterial SSU rRNA
Rfam family: Bacterial small subunit ribosomal RNA
Source: RNAcentral
UGAUCCUGGCUCAGAUUGAACGCUGGCGGCAGGCCUAACACAUGCAAGUCGAGCGGUAGCGGGAAGAGCUUGCUCUUUGCCGACGAGCGGCGGACGGGUGCGUAACACGUAGGAAUCUGCCUGGUAGUGGGGGAUAGCCCGGAGAAAUCCGGAUUAAUACCGCAUACGCCCUAAGGGGGAAAGCAGGGGAUCGGUUCGCCGACCUUGCGCUAUCAGAUGAGCCUGCGUCGGAUUAGCUUGUUGGUGGGGUAAAGGCCUACCAAGGCGACGAUCCGUAGCUGGUCUGAGAGGAUGAUCAGCCACACUGGGACUGAGACACGGCCCAGACUCCUACGGGA